Molecule: RNA transcript, 3386 nt
Organism: Neltuma alba
Lineage: Eukaryota; Viridiplantae; Streptophyta; Magnoliopsida; Fabales; Fabaceae
Exons: 7
Source: RefSeq, a predicted model, not a curated record
AAACGCAGGAAAGGGAAGGAGUCUGGUCCUCUUCCGACUCCGAGCAGCCAUCUCCCUGGCAUAUCCACUUGUUAUUCAUCAGCGUAGCCGCUGGCUGGCCUCUUCCUUCAGCCUCGGCAUCACCCAAGAAGAAGACCCCAAAUUUCAAAGCCCAAUUACAUUCCAACUGAACCUUCUUCUCAGCAGCUCAUGAUACAGACACAAGGACCAGGUCCAAAACUCCAUCGUUGCCAUCAUUGCUUCGACCAUCAGGGUUGCAUUUUAUGUCAAUAUACUAAUAGAGAUUAUAUCAAGGCGAGGUUCUGGUUAUAGCAUGGUGGGGGCUUUUGAUUUGAAUGAUCUUUCACAGAAACUCAACAAUCAUUAUUCAUAAUCCAAUUACACUGCUUGAUGCAAUUAUUGGAAUGGCUUCAAAUUUGGAACCCAUUCCAAUUACGUCUCAAAAGCACGAUCCUGCAUGGAAGCAUUGUCAAAUGUUUAAGAAUGGGGAUCGGGUGCAACUGAAAUGUAUAUAUUGUCUCAAGAUGUUCAAGGGUGGUGGCAUUCAUAGAAUUAAAGAACAUCUUGCUUGUCAAAAGGGUAAUGCCUCUACUUGCAGUCGUGUUCCACAUGAUGUUCGACUUCAAAUGCAACAUAGCUUAGAUGGUGUUGUGGUGAAAAAGAGGAAAAAGCAAAAAAAUGAGGAGGAGAUUCUGAAUGUUACUCCUAUGUCCACUGAUACGAGCACAAUUGCCAAUCAGGUUGAUGUAAAUGCUGGUCUUCAGUGUCUUCCGGUUCCAAAUCCAGUUGAACACAACUCAACUUUGAUAGUAAAUCCUGAUGAAGGAAUGAGUAGGACUCUAGAACGAAGAAAGAGGGUAAGAGGCAAGAAUGAUACAUUAAUGUACACGAACUCUGAGGUUGCUGUCUUGGAUAAAAAUGCUUUGUUUCCCAAAAAGGUUGACAAUCGCAUUCAUAUGGCUAUAGGUCGGUUUCUCUAUGAUAUUGGCGCACCUCCUGAUGUUGUGAACUCAGUCUAUUUUCAGCAAAUGAUUGAAGCAAUUGCUUCUGGGGGCUCAGGUGUUGAACAUCCCUCAUAUCAUGAUCUUCAGGGUUGGAUUUUAAAAAAUACUGUGGAAGAAGUUAAGGGUGAUAUAGAAAGAUGCAAGAUGACAUGGGCAAGAACUGGUUGUUCCAUUUUGGUGGACCAGUGGAACACAGAAACAGGUAGAAUAUUGCAGAGAUUUUUGGCAUAUUGUCCUGAAGGUACAAUCUUUCUGAAAUCUGUUGAUGCAUCUGACAUUAUAAAUUCCUCAGAUUUUCUAUUUGAGUUGAUAAAACAAGUAGUAGAAGAAGUCGGAGUCACAAAUGUCUUGCAAGUGAUUACGCCUGGUGAAGAACAAUAUGCUGUUGCGGGGAGACAGCUGACUGACACUUUUCCUACCCUCUAUUGGAGUCCUUCUGCUGCCUAUUGUAUUGAUUUGAUACUUGAGGAUUUUGGAAAUAUUGAGUGGAUUGGUGCUGUGAUUGAGCAAGCUAAAUCUAUAACAAGAUUUGUCUACAAUUAUAGUGCAGUCUUGAAUAUGCUUAGAAGGUACACUUUAGGGAAUGAUAUUGUGGAUCCCUUUUUCUCACGCUUUGUGACAAACUUUACAACAUUGAAACGAAUGGUUGAUCUUAAACACAAUUUACAGGCUAUGGUUACUUCUCAAGAGUGGAUGGACUGUCCAUAUUCAAAGCAAACAUCUGGACUGGAAAUGCUAGAUUGCAUAAGUAAUCAGACGUUUUGGUCUUCAUGUGAUUUGAUUGUUCGUUUGACAGUUCCUCUCUUGCGAGUUCUGAGAAUAACUGCAAGUGAGAAGAGACCAGCAAUGGGAUAUGUUUAUGCUGGAAUGUACCGGGCAAAAGAAGCAAUUAAGAAAGAAUUUGUCAAGAGAGAAGAUUAUAUGGUGUACUGGAGUAUUAUACAUCACAGGUGGGAGCGGCUGUGGCAUCAUCCUCUUCAUGCUGCAGGAUUCUACCUUAAUCCAAAGUUCUUCUAUAGUAUUCAAGGGGACAUGCAUAGUGAGAUUCUCUCAGGCAUGUUUGAUUGCAUAGAGAGGUUGGUCCCUGAUACAAGAAUUCAAGAUAAAAUUAUCAGGGAGAUAAACUCAUACAAAACUGCUGCAGGAGAUUUUGGGAGAAAGAUGGCUGUUAGAGCUAGAGACAAUUUGCUUCCUGCUGAAUGGUGGUCAACAUAUGGUGGAGGUUGCCCUAACUUGGCACGUUUAGCUGUUCAUAUUCUCAGUCAAACCUGCAGUGCGAUGGUAUGCAAGAGAAACCAGAUUCCUUUUGAACAAAUCAUGAAUACAAGGAAUCACAUAGAGCGCCAACAUCUUACUGAUCUUGUCUUUGUUCAUUAUAAUUUACGAUUAAGACAAAAAUGUAUGAGUAAAGAACAGGAUUUUUGUGAUCCCCUAUCAUUUGAAAACAUUAGUAACGUUGAUGACUGGAUUAAGGCAAAGGAUAUGCACUUAGAGGAGUAUGGGAACUCAGAUUGGAUGGCAUUGGAUCCAUCUUCUGUUAACACAAUGUUGUUAAGACCUCUAAAUGAUGAAACUGAAGAACUGGGUGAAGGCUUUGAUGAUAUUGAGAUUUUCAAUGGUAUGAAAGAUGGGGAUAGUGAAAAUACCGGAGACAAGUUUGUAGGCCAUUAACAAAUGGAUAGGAGAACCAAAUCUGCAAAACCCAUGCUGGCGCCCUCCUACAUUGUUACCAAAUGCAGUGAAAAAUAAGCAGAAAUUGUUUUCAAAACUAAAUUGUGAGGAACUCUGGGGAGGGCUUGUUGGGCAGGUGUGCCAAAAAGACCAUAUCCUUUUCAUCAUCGGAUAUUACGUGCCUGAACUCACCACGUUCAAGUGGUGUGUCAUCUCUGGCUGAGCAUAUUCUUGAUGACAAGGUUUGACCUGUGAUGCUUAUUGUAGAUGCGAAAGCAAGGCCAAUUGGUAAGAAGGGAGCAGCUAAGACGUUAAUGUGGGCCCUAUUGUGUUUGAAUUCCCACCUUUUAUCAAUUUAUUUGAAGGAAAGGAGAACGGGUGGUAGUUAGCUUUAGUUAGUGAUGAUAUUUCAAAAAUAUAAAUCCAAAUAUUUAUUGUUUUUAUGAACUAUUGAUAUUAAUAAAGAUAUAUAAAAAUGUAAAAAGUCUGAAAGUUUUUUUCUUUUGAGAAAUUUCACAACCCCUCAUUUUUUCCACCGGUGUUUUCAGUCUUGUGUGCCUUACUUUACCUCAAUUAGGCUUGUUUUGUUCAUUUUAAGGAUUAGGCUCAACUAUGUUGUACCUUUUCGGAUACUGAUUGGGAUAACGAUGAACAGAAUGAUCUGAAUUGUGAUAACUUCGUUACUCUUUAAAUAAAAUAUUUUUGCUGCAA